UGAGGAAUAUUGGUCAAUGGGCGAGAGCCUGAACCAGCCAAGUAGCGUGCAGGAUGACGGCCCUAUGGGUUGUAAACUGCUUUUAUAAGGGAAUAAAGUUAGUCUCGUGAGACUUUUUGCAUGUACCUUAUGAAUAAGGACCGGCUAAUUCCGUGCCAGCAGCCGCGGUAAUACGGAAGGUCCGGGCGUUAUCCGGAUUUAUUGGGUUUAAAGGGAGCGUAGGCUGGAGAUUAAGCGUGUUGUGAAAUGUAGACGCUCAACGUCUGCACUGCAGCGCGAACUGGUGUCCUUGAGUACGCACAAAGUGGGCGGAAUUCGUGGUGUAGCGGUGAAAUGCUUAGAUAUCACGAAGAACUCCGAUUGCGAAGGCAGCUCACUGGAGCGCAACUGACGCUGAAGCUCGAAAGUGCGGGUAUCGAACA
This 422-nucleotide ribosomal RNA is filed under the name uncultured prokaryote. RNAcentral describes it as "bacterial SSU rRNA". It matches the Rfam family "Bacterial small subunit ribosomal RNA", at positions 355 to 774 of the family's 1533-position model. The record is from RNAcentral.